CAAGAGGUUUCAUUAGAAACCAUUGAUUAUUUAUAAGUAAUCGGCUU
Vigna radiata var. radiata (mung bean) is the source of this 47-nucleotide non-coding RNA. NCBI's taxonomy places the organism in Eukaryota, Viridiplantae, Streptophyta, Magnoliopsida, Fabales, Fabaceae. The record is from Rfam.